Molecule: ribosomal RNA, 480 nt
Filed under: uncultured bacterium
Lineage: Bacteria
Description: partial 16S ribosomal RNA
Rfam family: Bacterial small subunit ribosomal RNA
Source: RNAcentral
GACGAACGCUGGCGGCGUGCUCUAUACAUGCAAGUCGAACGAUGAAGUUCUUUCGGGAAUGGAUUAGUGGCGAACGGGUGAGGAACACGUGAGAAACCUGCCUUUCAUUCUGGGAUAACACCGGGAAACCGGUGCUAAUACCGGAUACUCCGUCUUGGCGGCAUCGCCGAGCCGGGAAAAAAUUCUGAUGAAAGAUGGUCUCGCGGCCUAUCAGCAAGUUGGUGAGGUAAAGGCUCACCAAGGCGACGACGGGUAGCCGGCCUGAGAGGGCGACCGGCCACACGGGGACAGAGACACGGCCCAGACUCCUACGGGAGGCAGCAGUAGGGAAUAUUGGGCAAUGGGCGCAAGCCUGACCCAGCGACGCCGCGUGAGGGAUGAAGGUCUUCGGAUUGUAAACCUCUUUCAGUAGGGAAGAAGCGAAAGUGACGGUACCUAAAGAAGAAGCACCGGCUAACUAUGUGCCAGCAGCCGCAGUAA